This 83-nucleotide transfer RNA is filed under the name Perca fluviatilis (European perch). RNAcentral describes it as "tRNA-Ser". It matches the Rfam family "tRNA". From Rfam's summary of the family: Transfer RNA (tRNA) molecules are approximately 80 nucleotides in length. Their secondary structure includes four short double-helical elements and three loops (D, anti-codon, and T loops). Further hydrogen bonds mediate the characteristic L-shaped molecular structure. tRNAs have two regions of fundamental functional importance: the anti-codon, which is responsible for specific mRNA codon recognition, and the 3' end, to which the tRNAs corresponding amino acid is attached (by aminoacyl-tRNA synthetases). tRNAs cope with the degeneracy of the genetic code in two manners: having more than one tRNA (with a specific anti-codon) for a particular amino acid; and 'wobble' base-pairing, i.e. permitting non-standard base-pairing at the 3rd anti-codon position. The record is from RNAcentral. Lineage: Eukaryota; Metazoa; Chordata; Actinopteri; Perciformes; Percidae.
GACCAGGUGGCCGAGUGGUUAAGGCGUAUGGACUGCUAAUCCAUUGUGCUUUGCACGCGGGUUCGAAAUCCUAUCCCUCGUCG